GUGAACGCUGGCGGUAGGCCUAACACCUGCAAGUCGAACGGCAGCACAGUAAGAGCUUGCUCUUACGGGUGGCGAGUGGCGGACGGGUGAGGAAUACAUCGGAAUCUACUUUUUCGUGGGGGAUAACGUAGGGAAACUUACGCUAAUACCGCAUACGACCUACGGGUGAAAGCAGGGGAUCUUCGGACCUUGCGCGAUUGAAUGAGCCGAUGUCGGAUUAGCUAGUUGGCGGGGUAAAGGCCCACCAAGGCGACGAUCCGUAGCUGGUCUGAGAGGAUGAUCGGCCACACUGGAACUGAGACACGGUCCAGACUCCUACGGGAGGCAGCAGUGGGGAAUAUUGGACAAUGGGCGCAAGCCUGAUCCAGCCAUACCGCGUGGGUGAAGAAGGCCUUCGGGUUGUAAAGCCCUUUUGUUGGGAAAGAAAAGCAGCAGGUUAAUACCCCGCUGUUCUGACGGUACCCAAAGAAUAAGCACCGGCUAACUUCGUG
RNAcentral lists this ribosomal RNA (491 nucleotides) under uncultured bacterium. RNAcentral describes it as "partial 16S ribosomal RNA". It matches the Rfam family "Bacterial small subunit ribosomal RNA", at positions 29 to 507 of the family's 1533-position model. The record is from RNAcentral.